Molecule: unclassified non-coding RNA, 226 nt
Filed under: Cylindrocarpon sp.
Lineage: Eukaryota; Fungi; Ascomycota; Sordariomycetes; Hypocreales; Nectriaceae
Also listed under: 1 other name
Description: partial internal transcribed spacer region
Rfam family: Eukaryotic small subunit ribosomal RNA (bases 1-46)
Source: RNAcentral
AAGUCGUAACAAGGUCUCCGUUGGUGAACCAGCGGAGGGAUCAUUACCGAGUGAAAACUCCCAAACCCCUGUGAACAUACCACUGUUGCUUCGGCGGAAUCGCCCUCGCCUCGCGCGGGGGCCCGCCCGAGGACCCAAAAAUUCAAUUGUAUUUGACUUCAAAACGCAUUCUGAGUGGAUUCUACGAAUCAAAUCAAAACCUUCAACAACGGAUCUCUUGGCUCUG